AAUUUUUGAGCAUCUUGAAAAUCUUGGGCGCAUGCGUCAGACAAUCGCCCUGUUUUACCGACAUUACGACGAGCUUCAGGCAUUAAACUGCGGCGCUGGCAUCGCAUAAUCGUCUGCACUGGACAGAGAUUUUCGGAAAAUUUCAUGAAAAUGAAACUACAGCGUCAAUAGUCAAAAGAGACGCUACGCUCUGUUUUAUCGACAGUGCGUGAAGCCAUUAGUUUCGAAAACUGAACAAAGAUGGCUGCGGCGCUGUAAUCGGGUCUUUUGUCUAAACCACGGAAGUGUACAAUUUGAUUUGGAGCAAAGAUACUUAUUCGGGAAUUAUUGCUUCAUGAUCUUCAGGAGGAGAGGUUUCAAUCUUCGUGUUCCUCAAAGUUCUGAACGUUCAAAUGAUAGAAAUUUAUUUGUUCCUUAACUUAAAAUUAAAAUUUUAUUACAAUAAUAUUGCAUCAUCAGAAAAAAAUCAUAAAAUUUCUAAAUAUAAAAUUUAAUUUUUGAAUUUUUACUGUAAUCAGUUUAUUUUUUGAAAAUAUUUCGCUAAAUUGAACGUUCAAAAAUAUUGUGGACCGCAUUCUUCGUAGAGGAGGCGCGAUGGCAUAGCAUCCAUCGACCAACGUGGGAUUC
This is a long non-coding RNA of Leptopilina heterotoma, 627 nucleotides long. RefSeq lists it as uncharacterized. NCBI's taxonomy places the organism in Eukaryota, Metazoa, Arthropoda, Insecta, Hymenoptera, Figitidae. The record is from RefSeq and is a predicted model, not a curated record. The transcript is spliced from 3 exons.